Molecule: small RNA, 125 nt
Filed under: Marmota monax (woodchuck)
Lineage: Eukaryota; Metazoa; Chordata; Mammalia; Rodentia; Sciuridae
Source: RNAcentral
GCUGGGCACGGUGGUGCACACCUGUAAUCCCAGUAGCUCAGGAGGCUGAGACAGGAGGAUCACCAGUUCAAAGCCAGCCUCAGCAAUGGUAAGGCACUAAGCAACUCAGUGAGACCCUGUCUCUA